AAGACCAGUGGAGGCAUGAGGAUGCCUCGGUUCAGAUGCUUCAGUAUAUUGUGAAUAACAAUGGUCUGAUAGAGCAGAUGAGAAUAAAUAAACUGAAUCCAGAUGAAGACCUUCCCUUUAUUAAGGAAUUAAUCAAGGGGGUGCAGGCUUCAGAGAGUCAGCAUGAAGAGAGAUCCACAAACAAACCUUUCCUGUAUGAGAUUGUGGUAAAUCAAUUGAAUGGUGUUGAUGUCCGCAAGUGGGACUAUAUUGCACGGUGAAUAUAAUAGCAUUUUAAAAAU
Cyprinus carpio (common carp) is the source of this 281-nucleotide long non-coding RNA. RefSeq lists it as uncharacterized. The record is from RefSeq and is a predicted model, not a curated record. NCBI's taxonomy places the organism in Eukaryota, Metazoa, Chordata, Actinopteri, Cypriniformes, Cyprinidae. The transcript is spliced from 3 exons.